This 253-nucleotide ribosomal RNA is filed under the name uncultured bacterium. RNAcentral's name for it is "partial 16S ribosomal RNA". It matches the Rfam family "Bacterial small subunit ribosomal RNA", at positions 524 to 776 of the family's 1533-position model. The record is from RNAcentral.
UACAGAGGGUGCGAGCGUUUAUCGGAAUUACUGGGCGUAAAGGGUGCGUAGGUGGUUCGAUAAGUCAGUUGUGAAAUCCCUGGGCUUAACCUGGGAAUUGCAUUUGAUACUGUCGAACUAGAGUGUGGUAGAGGUAAGCGGAAUUCCCGGUGUAGAGGUGAAAUUCGUAGAUAUCGGGAGGAACACCGGUGGCGAAGGCGGCGACCUGGGUAGAUACUGACGCUGAGGUGCGAAAGCGUGGGGAGCAAACAGG